RNAcentral lists this ribosomal RNA (478 nucleotides) under uncultured bacterium. RNAcentral describes it as "partial 16S ribosomal RNA". It matches the Rfam family "Bacterial small subunit ribosomal RNA", at positions 28 to 523 of the family's 1533-position model. The record is from RNAcentral.
GACGAACGCUGGCGGCGUGCUUAACACAUGCAAGUCGAACGGUAAGGCCCUUCGGGGUACACGAGUGGCGAACGGGUGAGUAACACGGGGGUGAUCUGCCCUGCACUUCGGGGUAAGCCUGGGAAACUGGGUCUAAUACCGGAUAGGACUCCUGGCUUCAUGGUUGGGGGUGGAAAGCUUUUGCGGUGUGGGAUGGGCCCGCGGCCUAUCAGCUUGUUGGUGGGGUAAUGGCCUACCAAGGCGACGGCGGGUAGCCGGCCUGAGAAGGUGACCGGUCACACUGGGACUGUGAUACGGCCCAGACUCCUACGGGAGGCAGCAGUGGGGAAUAUUGCACAAUGGGCGCAAGCCUGAUGCAGCGACGCCGCGUGAGGGAUGACGGCCUUCGGGUUGUAAACCUCUUUCAGCACCGACGAAGCGCAAGUGACGGUAGGUGCAGAAGAAGGACCGGCCAACUACGUGCCAGCCGCCGCCGUAA